UACAGAGGUCUCAAGCGUUGUUCGGAUUCAUUGGGCGUAAAGGGUGCGUAGGCGGAUCCUUAAGUCGGUGGUGAAAUCCUGAAGCUCAACUUCAGAACUGCCUUCGAUACUGGGGACCUUGAGUUCGGGAGAGGUGAGUGGAACUGCGAGUGUAGAGGUGAAAUUCGUAGAUAUUCGCAAGAACACCAGUGGCGAAGGCGGCUCACUGGCCCGAUACUGACGCUGAGGUGCGAAAGCGUGGGGAGCAAACAGG
This 253-nucleotide ribosomal RNA is filed under the name uncultured bacterium. RNAcentral's name for it is "partial 16S ribosomal RNA". It matches the Rfam family "Bacterial small subunit ribosomal RNA", at positions 524 to 776 of the family's 1533-position model. The record is from RNAcentral.